AUUGAACGCUGGCGGCAGGCCUAACACAUGCAAGUCGAGCGAGCGGCGGACGGGUGAGUAAUGUAUGGGGACUGCCCGAUCGAGGGGGAUAACUACUGGAAACGGUGGCUAAUACCGCUUACUAUCCGUUAACCCAUAUGGGUUUAGCUAGUAGGUGGGGUAAAGGCUCACCUUGGCGACGAUCCAUAGCUGGUCUGCGAGGGUGAUCGGCCACACGGGGAAGGAGACACGGCCCAGACUCCUACGGAGGCAGCAGUGGGGAAUAUUGGACAAUGGGCGAAAGCCUGAUGCAGCCAUGCCGCGUGUAUGAAGAAGGCCUUAGGAUUGUAAAGUACUUUCAGCGGGGAGGCGUUACCCGCAGAAGAAGCACCGGCUAACUCCGUGCCAGCAGCCGCGGUAAUUC
RNAcentral lists this ribosomal RNA (403 nucleotides) under uncultured bacterium. Its description in RNAcentral is "partial 16S ribosomal RNA". It matches the Rfam family "Bacterial small subunit ribosomal RNA", at positions 30 to 526 of the family's 1533-position model. The record is from RNAcentral.